This 535-nucleotide ribosomal RNA is filed under the name uncultured bacterium. RNAcentral describes it as "bacterial SSU rRNA". It matches the Rfam family "Bacterial small subunit ribosomal RNA", at positions 338 to 861 of the family's 1533-position model. The record is from RNAcentral.
CCUACGGGAGGCAGCAGUAGGGAAUCUUCCACAAUGGGCGAAAGCCUGAUGGAGCAACGCCGCGUGAGUGAUGAAGGCCUUCGGGUUGUAAAACUCUGUCAUUCGGGACGAACCGGAGUCUGAGGAAAUGCAGACUCUCUGACGGUACCGGAGGAGGAAGCCCCGGCUAACUACGUGCCAGCAGCCGCGGUAAUACGUAGGGGGCAAGCGUUGUCCGGAUUCACUGGGCGUAAAGCGCGCGCAGGCGGUGAUGUAAGUCUGAGGUGAAAACCCGAGCUCAACUUCGGGACUGCCUUGGAUACUGCGUCACUUGAGGAUAGGAGAGGCAAGGGGAAUUCCACGUGUAGCGGUGAAAUGCGUAGAGAUGUGGAGGAACACCUGUGGCGAAGGCGCCUUGCUGGCCUAUUUCUGACGCUGAGGCGCGAAAGCGUGGGGAGCAAACAGGAUUAGAUACCCUGGUAGUCCACGCUGUAAACGAUGAGUGCGUAGGUGUAGGUGGGUCGUCACUACCACUCUGUGCCGACGACGUAACGAC